GUGGUACCUAACACUACAGGGAGAUAACUCUGUAAAGUCAGCUAAACGUUUUAAUUACGUUGUGUUGUAAAGGGAAUAUUAAGCUUCUCAGUGAUUAAAAUUGGCGUUUGUCAAACUGCUAUAUAACCAGUGUAAUUUUUCUGAUAAAAUGGUUGGUUCAAAAUGUUUGAAAUUUUUAUAUUUUUGUUAAAGGGUCAAAGUAAAUACUUUGUCAAAAUUUUAUGAAAAUUAAACGAGCC
Molecule: long non-coding RNA, 239 nt
Filed under: Mytilus galloprovincialis (Mediterranean mussel)
Lineage: Eukaryota; Metazoa; Mollusca; Bivalvia; Mytilida; Mytilidae
Source: RNAcentral